Molecule: transfer RNA, 77 nt
Filed under: Pararhodospirillum photometricum DSM 122
Lineage: Bacteria; Pseudomonadati; Pseudomonadota; Alphaproteobacteria; Rhodospirillales; Rhodospirillaceae
Description: tRNA-Ile
Source: RNAcentral
UAGUAGUGGCGAGCGAACGCGGACUAGCCCAGUGACUUGAAGUUUCUAACCAGAACGGCAUGGAAAGGCCGGCCACA